Long non-coding RNA from Homo sapiens (human), 1311 nucleotides. The record is from Ensembl. NCBI's taxonomy places the organism in Eukaryota, Metazoa, Chordata, Mammalia, Primates, Hominidae.
AGUGUGGGCGUGUGUGUCCCUGAUUCUUGUGCUGAAGAGGAUGUGACUCUGAUGUCUCGGCUGGAUACUUUAAGAUUCAGAAAUACUUCAUUUUUGGCCCCUUCCCUCUUUCUUUUUACAAUAAAUUCUUCCUCCUUGUCUGGUGGGAGUGUGACCAGAUGUGCUGCUGGAAAGAUCCCCCUGGACACAUUUGCUGCCGUAUGUCUGUUCAUCACCUUGCUGGGUCUCAUCCUCCCUCCGGCUGGAACAGUCUGCGUGGCAGCUAGGGAAUGGGGGUCAGCCUGCAGGACAUCGCGGGAACACGGGGAACCUCUGGCCACUUACGGGAGUCUGCCACUGAGCGAGGCGGAGAGCAAUGAACAAAGAAGCAGAAUCCCACGGACACACUGCCGGGCACAUCUCCUCCUGUCAGCAGCCUCCAGCAGAGGAAAAAGGUUUCUAGGAGCCGUGGCUCAUGCUCUGGAGUGCUUUUCUUGGCAGAAGAAUGUGCCAGCCAUCUGGACUACAAAGGCACCAGGUGGCACCUGCUCUGCACUGAAUGGCAUUCGUGUCUUGAGUCUUCUUUGGAUCAUCUCGGGACACACCAGUCAGAUGACUGCAUGGCUGUCUUUGGAUAAUGUGCUUGAAUGGAACAGCAGAGUGCUUAGAAACCCACUGUGUGUUUACUCUUGGAGUGGUCCCUUCUAUCUUGGAGUUGAUACAUUUUUCCUGAUCAGUGGUUGGUUAAGUGCAAGUUCGUUUUUAAAGAUGCAUCAGAAUUCAGACAAAGGAAUAACCCCCAAAGGCAUACUCAGAUACUUUCUCAGUCACCUGGUAAGGUUGCAGCCUCUUCACCUGUAUUCAAUGUGCUUGUUGGUUGGACUGUUCUCUCUUGUUCCCUGGGGACCUGUCUGGGAAAUGCCCAAAUUCCACUGGGAUAACUGCCGGCAAGCAUGGUGGACGAAUCUGCUGUUGCUAAAUAACUUUGUGUCGGUCAAGAAUGCGUGCAAUGGCUGGACCUGGUACCUUGCCAAUGACUUCCAGUUCCACCUCACCACACCAGUGAUUAUCUUCAUCCAUGUAAAGAGUACACAGAUCCUCAUCCUCCUUGGGGCCAUGCUGUUCUUGGCAUCUUUCACAGCCACUGCUCUGAUCACCUUGGCAUAUAAACUUCCUGUCGUGGCUCCAUCAGAAACCAGUGAAGAGGCGAUUGUAUUGUAUUUCGUGGAGUACUACACAAAGCCCUACUGCCGAUUUGGGCCAGUUCUUGUGGGCCUCUUUCUGAGCAUUUACAUGCACCAAAACCACCAGGAAAACAUUCUCAGAACCAAG